AGCGAACGCUGGCGGCAGGCCUAACACAUGCAAGUCGAACGGACCCUUCGGGGUUAGUGGCGGACGGGUGAGUAACACGUGGGAACGUGCCUUUAGGUUCGGAAUAGCUCCUGGAAACGGGUGGUAAUGCCGAAUGUGCCCUUCGGGGGAAAGAGUUGUCGCCUUUAGAGCGGCCCGCGUCUGAUUAGCUAGUUGGUGAGGUAACGGCUCACCAAGGCGACGAUCAGUAGCUGGUCUGAGAGGAUGACCAGCCACACUGGGACUGAGGCACGGCCCAGACUCCUACGGGAGGCAGCAGUGGGGAAUCUUGCGCAAGGGGCGAAAGCCUGAAGCAGCCAUGCCGCGUGAAUGAUGAAGGUCUUAGGAUAGUAAAAGUCUUUCAACGGGGACGAUAAUGACGGUACCCGGAGAAGAAGCCACGGCUAACUUCGUG
This 433-nucleotide ribosomal RNA is filed under the name uncultured bacterium. RNAcentral's name for it is "partial 16S ribosomal RNA". It matches the Rfam family "Bacterial small subunit ribosomal RNA", at positions 29 to 507 of the family's 1533-position model. The record is from RNAcentral.